This 292-nucleotide ribosomal RNA is filed under the name uncultured bacterium. RNAcentral's name for it is "partial 16S ribosomal RNA". The record is from RNAcentral.
GGACUACAGGGGUAUCUAAUCCUGUUUGCUCCCCACGCUUUCGUGCCUCAGCGUCAGUGUUAGCCCAGGGGGCUGCCUUCGCCAUCGGUGUUCCUCCGCAUCUCUACGCAUUUCACUGCUACACGCGGAAUUCCACCCCCCUCUGCCACACUCAAGCCCGCCAGUUUCCACUGCCAUUCCCAGGUUAAGCCCGGGGCUUUCACAGCAGACAUAACGAACCGCCUACGCACGCUUUACGCCCAGUAAUUCCGAUUAACGCUCGCACCCUACGUAUUACCGCGGCUGCUGGCAC